RNAcentral lists this ribosomal RNA (583 nucleotides) under uncultured bacterium. RNAcentral describes it as "bacterial SSU rRNA". It matches the Rfam family "Bacterial small subunit ribosomal RNA", at positions 331 to 929 of the family's 1533-position model. The record is from RNAcentral.
CCAGACUCCUACGGGAGGCAGCAGUGAGGAAUCUUCCACAAUGGGCGAAAGCCUGAUGGAGCAACGCCGCGUGCAGGAUGAAGGCCUUCGGGUUGUAAACUGCUUUUAUAAGUGAGGAAUAUGACGGUAGCUUAUGAAUAAGGAUCGGCUAACUACGUGCCAGCAGCCGCGGUCAUACGUAGGAUCCGAGCGUUAUCCGGAGUGACUGGGCGUAAAGAGUUGCGUAGGUGGUUGUAUAAGUGAAUAGUGAAAUCUGGUGGCUCAACCAUACAGGCUAUUGUUCAAACUGUACAACUUGAGAGUGGUAGAGGUCACUGGAAUUUCUUGUGUAGGAGUGAAAUCCGUAGAUAUAAGAAGGAACACCAAUGGCGUAGGCAGGUGGCUGGACCAUUUCUGACGCUAAGGCACGAAAGCGUGGGGAGCGAACCGGAUUAGAUACCCGGGUAGUCCACGCCGUAACGAUGGAUACUGGCUGUUGGAGGUAUCGACCCCUUCAGUAGCGAAGCUAACGCGUUAAGUAUCCCGCCUGUGGAGUACGGCCGCAAGGCUAAAACAUAAAGGAAUUGACGGGGGCCCGCACAAG